GGUCAAGUGAAGAAGCGCAUACGGUGGAUGCCUUGGCAGUCAGAGGCGAUGAAAGACGUGGUAGCCUGCGAAAAGCUUCGGGGAGUCGGCAAACAGACUUUGAUCCGGAGAUGUCUGAAUGGGGGAACCCAGCCAUCAUAAGAUGGUUACCUUACACUGAAUACAUAGGUGUAAGGGGCGAACCAGGGGAACUGAAACAUCUAAGUACCCUGAGGAAAAGAAAUCAACCGAGAUUCCCUUAGUAGUGGCGAGCGAACGGGGACUAGCCCUUAAGUGGCUUUGAGAUUAGCGGAACGCUCUGGAAAGUGCGGCCAUAGUGGGUGAUAGCCCUGUACGCGAAAAUCUCUUAGUCAUGAAAUCGAGUAGGACGGAGCACGAGAAACUUUGUCUGAAUAUGGGGGGACCAUCCUCCAAGGCUAAAUACUACUGACUGACCGAUAGUGAACUAGUACCGUGAGGGAAAGGCGAAAAGAACCCCGGAGAGGGGAGUGAAAUAGAUCCUGAAACCGUAUGCGUACAAGCAGUGGGAGCAGACUUUGUUCUGUGACUGCGUACCUUUUGUAUAAUGGGUCAGCGACUUAUUUUCAGUGGCGAGCUUAACCGAAUAGGGGAGGCGUAGCGAAAGCGAGUCUUAAUAGGGCGUCUAGUCGCUGGGAAUAGACCCGAAACCGGGCGAUCUAUCCAUGGGCAGGUUGAAGGUUGGGUAACACUAACUGGAGGACCGAACCGACUACCGUUGAAAAGUUAGCGGAUGACCUGUGGAUCGGAGUGAAAGGCUAAUCAAGCUCGGAGAUAGCUGGUUCUCCUCGAAAGCUAUUUAGGUAGCGCCUCAUGUAUCACUGUAGGGGGUAGAGCACUGUUUCGGCUAGGGGGUCAUCCCGACUUACCAAACCGAUGCAAACUCCGAAUACCUACAAGUGCCGAGCAUGGGAGACACACGGCGGGUGCUAACGUCCGUCGUGAAAAGGGAAACAACCCAGACCGUCAGCUAAGGUCCCAAAGUUAUGGUUAAGUGGGAAACGAUGUGGGAAGGCUUAGACAGCUAGGAGGUUGGCUUAGAAGCAGCCACCCUUUAAAGAAAGCGUAAUAGCUCACUAGUCGAGUCGGCCUGCGCGGAAGAUGUAACGGGGCUCAAACCAUACACCGAAGCUACGGGUAUCACGUAAGUGAUGCGGUAGAGGAGCGUUCUGUAAGCCUGUGAAGGUGAGUUGAGAAGCUUGCUGGAGGUAUCAGAAGUGCGAAUGCUGACAUGAGUAACGAUAAUGGGUGUGAAAAACACCCACGCCGAAAGACCAAGGUUUCCUGCGCAACGUUAAUCGACGCAGGGUUAGUCGGUCCCUAAGGCGAGGCUGAAAAGCGUAGUCGAUGGAAAACAGGUUAAUAUUCCUGUACUUCUGGUUAUUGCGAUGGAGGGACGGAGAAGGCUAGGCCAGCUUGGCGUUGGUUGUCCAAGUUUAAGGUGGUAGGCUGAGAUCUUAGGUAAAUCCGGGAUCUUAAGGCCGAGAGCUGAUGACGAGUUGUCUUUUAGAUGACGAAGUGGUUGAUGCCAUGCUUCCAAGAAAAGCUUCUAAGCUUCAGGUAACCAGGAACCGUACCCCAAACCGACACAGGUGGUUGGGUAGAGAAUACCAAGGCGCUUGAGAGAACUCGGGUGAAGGAACUAGGCAAAAUGGCACCGUAACUUCGGGAGAAGGUGCGCCGGUGAGGGUGAAGGACUUGCUCCGUAAGCCCAUGCCGGUCGAAGAUACCAGGCCGCUGCGACUGUUUAUUAAAAACACAGCACUCUGCAAACACGAAAGUGGACGUAUAGGGUGUGACGCCUGCCCGGUGCCGGAAGGUUAAUUGAUGGGGUUAGCUAACGCGAAGCUCUUGAUCGAAGCCCCGGUAAACGGCGGCCGUAACUAUAACGGUCCUAAGGUAGCGAAAUUCCUUGUCGGGUAAGUUCCGACCUGCACGAAUGGCGUAACGAUGGCGGCGCUGUCUCCACCCGAGACUCAGUGAAAUUGAAAUCGCUGUGAAGAUGCAGUGUAUCCGCGGCUAGACGGAAAGACCCCGUGAACCUUUACUAUAGCUUUGCACUGGACUUUGAAUUUGCUUGUGUAGGAUAGGUGGGAGGCUUUGAAGCGUGGACGCCAGUUCGCGUGGAGCCAACCUUGAAAUACCACCCUGGCAACUUUGAGGUUCUAACUCAGGUCCGUUAUCCGGAUCGAGGACAGUGUAUGGUGGGUAGUUUGACUGGGGCGGUCUCCUCCUAAAGAGUAACGGAGGAGUACGAAGGUGCGCUCAGACCGGUCGGAAAUCGGUCGUAGAGUAUAAAGGCAAAAGCGCGCUUGACUGCGAGACAGACACGUCGAGCAGGUACGAAAGUAGGUCUUAGUGAUCCGGUGGUUCUGUAUGGAAGGGCCAUCGCUCAACGGAUAAAAGGUACUCCGGGGAUAACAGGCUGAUACCGCCCAAGAGUUCAUAUCGACGGCGGUGUUUGGCACCUCGAUGUCGGCUCAUCACAUCCUGGGGCUGAAGCCGGUCCCAAGGGUAUGGCUGUUCGCCAUUUAAAGUGGUACGCGAGCUGGGUUUAGAACGUCGUGAGACAGUUCGGUCCCUAUCUGCCGUGGACGUUUGAGAUUUGAGAGGGGCUGCUCCUAGUACGAGAGGACCGGAGUGGACGAACCUCUGGUGUUCCGGUUGUCACGCCAGUGGCAUUGCCGGGUAGCUAUGUUCGGAAUAGAUAACCGCUGAAAGCAUCUAAGCGGGAAACUAGCCUCAAGAUGAGAUCUCACUGGGACCUUGAGUCCCCUGAAGGGCCGUCGAAGACUACGACGUUGAUAGGUUGGGUGUGUAAGCGCUGUGAGGCGUUGAGCUAACCAAUACUAAUUGCCCGUGAGGCUUGACCAU
Molecule: ribosomal RNA, 2892 nt
Filed under: Pseudomonas extremaustralis
Lineage: Bacteria; Pseudomonadati; Pseudomonadota; Gammaproteobacteria; Pseudomonadales; Pseudomonadaceae
Description: 23S ribosomal RNA
Rfam family: Bacterial large subunit ribosomal RNA
Source: RNAcentral